Molecule: long non-coding RNA, 1391 nt
Organism: Cucurbita maxima (winter squash)
Lineage: Eukaryota; Viridiplantae; Streptophyta; Magnoliopsida; Cucurbitales; Cucurbitaceae
Exons: 2
Source: RefSeq, a predicted model, not a curated record
GUUCGAGUAUGUGAGUGUGUGGGUCUGGGUCGAAGGAUAGGUGAGCCAUGGGUUGCAAAUGCGAGGUGGGCUGGGGAUGUGUAACUUGGUCAAAGAGAGGCUGUUUGAUCCAGGAUCAAUGAACUUUUAAGCUCUAUUUAGGAAGCUGUUUAGUGCUGAAGGGAUCUAAAAUGGGAAGACUUACACUUGAUUCCGCAGUGGAGAUUCAUCCAAAUUCAAUUGCAUUAUCACUCAAGAAAGCUUCUCGUCGUUUCAUUCCUCACAAGCUUGGUUGAAAGCAAAUCCAGCCUCAGAUCCAAGGCGGAACCUCCAAUUCCGGCCCAGAUUACGUCGUAAAUGGCGAAGGAGAAGGAGGUAUCGCAACGAGAACAUUGUAUUUGCCGUCGGAAUGGUGAUGGAGGAAUUUAAUGCCUAUAAUUCCAUGACGCAGCAGCCGUAUUGGCCAUGCCCGCACCGCCGUCAACUUCGAUGUCGUCUACAGAUAAUUCAACGGGAAAAUGAAUUGGAGGAGAAUCCAGUGACGUUAAGUGACUGCUUUUGCCCAAGAAUAUCUUGCGGACAUGGCCGAUCUCCAGUGCCUUUCUCCUACACAUCAACCUUGUGUGUCUGAUCACAUGGAAUAAAUCAAGGAUAUGAUGACUCAGGUAUGUAUCUUUAUGCCUACUCAAUGAUUAAUUUUUUUAAGUUUACUUUCUGAAAGUUGCAAUUAUAAGAUUCAAACCAGGGUAGUCCCACAAUGAAAUCCAUUGAAAGAUCAUCCCAUAUUCGUUCGGAAAUAAACCAACUGGAGCUUCAGUUCCCUCGUUCAAUUUGUUUCUCAUUGCAACCAAAAUAGGAUCAAUUUGCGGUUGGUCUAAAAUUAGCUUCAAAUUCAUACUUCCAAGCCACACUAAUUGCCGUACAUUCUAGUGUUUGAGGAAGUCUUGAUAAACCAUCAGCUGCCCUAUUCUCUUUUCCUGGUUUGUGCACAAUUUCAAUGUUGAAUCCCAUUAAUUUUUUCAUCAACUUAUGAUAUUCUCAACCCACCAUUCGUUGAUCCAAUAUUAAUUUAUGAUAUUCUUCACCUGGGGAACAUGAGAAAAGCACAAACAACCGAACACCUUCAAAAUUUUCAGGUUUGGUUUGGUAUUAAACUAAGUUUCGUAGUGUGUCAUCUUCUCCAAUACACUUGGAACAACCAAGCACCUUCAUAUAAAGACUGUUGUGUUUGCUGUUUCAACCCAAAACUCAUUCAAUAAGUUCCUCUCAUGCAACAUACCUCUUGUCAUCUCCAUAAUACUCCAGUUCUUCCUCUUAGUAACUCUGUUUUGAAUUAUAGUAUAUGAAACAGUGAACUGAUACUGUAUCCCAACUUUUCAUUAAAGGAAUUAAACCUUUGUGAUGUGCAUUCA